GGCUCAGGAUGAACGCUAGCGGCAGGCUUAAUACAUGCAAGUCGUGGGGCAGCAUGAGUAGCAAUACUUGAUGGCGACCGGCAAACGGGUGAGGAACACGUACACAACCUUCCUUCAAGCGGGGAAUAGCCCAGAGAAAUUUGGAUUAAUACCCCAUAAUAUAUUUGAUAAGGCAUCUUAUUAAUAUUAAAGCUUCGGCACUUGAUGAUGGGUGUGCGGCUGAUUAGAUAGUUGGCGGGGUAACGGCCCACCAAGUCUACGAUCAGUAGCUGAUGUGAGAGCAUGAUCAGCCACACGGGCACUGAGACACGGGCCCGACUCCUACGGGAGGCAGCAGUAAGGAUAUUGGACAAUGGACGAAAGUCUGAUCCAGCCAUGCCCGCGUGAAGGAUUAAGGUCCUCUGGAUUGUAAACUUCUUUUAUAUGGGACGAAAAAGGGCAUUCUUGUUCACUUGACGGUACCAUAUGAAUAAGCACCGGCUAACUCCGUG
RNAcentral lists this ribosomal RNA (491 nucleotides) under uncultured bacterium. Its description in RNAcentral is "bacterial SSU rRNA". It matches the Rfam family "Bacterial small subunit ribosomal RNA", at positions 21 to 507 of the family's 1533-position model. The record is from RNAcentral.